GAAACAAGAAGCACAGCAGAAACACUCAGAGCAACUAUCAGUCCAACAGGUCCAUCCCCUGGGUGUCCUCCUGUCUGACCUGCAGAUCCACCCGGUUCUUAAAUGAUGGAUGCUGGUUUUCUGGAUCAAACUGCUCAUCCCGGAACAAAAGCACAUAUUGUGGCUUCAGUGUCUGUUCAGAAGACCACAGUCGUAGGAACAGCAGAGAUACUGUGUAGGACCCUCAAACUCCCAGACCUCUGGUAGAGGACCCAAACAUAAAGACUGCCCACAGGAAAUCGGCACGAUGAAGACAAACACCAAAGUUGAGCAGAGCAGCGUGCUUACGGAAGCCAUUAUGGAAGCCAUUAUGGAAGCAUU
Long non-coding RNA from Oreochromis niloticus (Nile tilapia), 360 nucleotides. RefSeq lists it as uncharacterized. The transcript has 4 exons. NCBI's taxonomy places the organism in Eukaryota, Metazoa, Chordata, Actinopteri, Cichliformes, Cichlidae. The record is from RefSeq and is a predicted model, not a curated record.